This 1457-nucleotide long non-coding RNA is filed under the name Equus caballus (horse). RNAcentral's name for it is "lncRNA (ENSECAG00000044879.1)". The record is from RNAcentral. Lineage: Eukaryota; Metazoa; Chordata; Mammalia; Perissodactyla; Equidae.
AGAGGCUGGCAGAGGAGGCGCUGGCAGAGACGCCAGUGACGCAAAGAGUUGCCCUCCCUCUCUGGUUUCUUAUGGCGGCUGGUUUCCUUCCAUCUUUUUCAAAUAACGCAUUUCCACUUAGCUGGUGCCGUCUUCUGGGAUUAAUUAGUGACUGCGCAAGGUACACGGGGUUUCCGCGGCCGGCACCUCUUGACAGACGGCAGUUGGAAAGAAAUGGGAAAUGAUUGCAGAGAUGGAAGAAAAAAAAAGACCUAAAUUAUAGGAACCAACAGUCCCUGUUGCUGGAAAAUGCUGGGGAUCUGGAGUGAAUAAAUAUUCCUGAGAUGAGACGACCGUGACCUUGUGUGGGGAGCUUGGGGCAAUCACCUGGAUAACACGAGCCAGGAGAGGGCAGGGAUGGAAGAAAACAUUUCUGAAGCUCAUUCAUCCUGAAAUGCCUGGGUCAGACAGUUGACUCUGUGGAUGCCGCCAGAAUUCAUCUCAGAGAGAGGCAGGCACAGAGAAAUAUUCCAGCUGAGCGGAGCCACCAGGAAAUGUGCGCUCCACAGAUCAGGCUCCAAGUUGCAGGUGCACACGUGUGUGUACAUGUGUGUGCAUGUAUGUGCAUGUGAAGGCAACAUGACAGCCCUGAGGUGAGGCCCAUCCCCAGGCCUCCCGAGGCUCAGGUGGUCCCUUGAAGGGGGCCUGCAGGCACCCAGCAUGCAGACACACCGCCAUUGAGCCCUCGCGUUGCUAGUCUAAUUCUCUCCGCCUGCAGAGUGGGUGCUGUGAUGCCCAUUGAAGAGAUGAAGAAGCCAAGGCUCAGAGAGGUACAGGAACUUGUCCAGGGUCACAUUCAUUUGGCAGGGCAGCCAGGGUUUAAGCCCAGGUUUUUCUGUAAAGGCUGCGUGUGGCCUGGCCCACGGUAUUUGCAGCCACAGAGCAGGCUGCGUUUUAAAUCCACCAAGGGCAGCAGGGGGGCUGGGCGGGAGCAGCGUCCCUGGGGCUCACGGAAGCGCCGAGCGCCCCCCAGUCCUCACUGGGCUGUGGUGUGGAGCAUGAAGGGCUAAUUUCAUGGCUGAUAAAACUCUCUAUGCACGAGACUUCACAGACAAAUGAGAGCACUGCUCUGCUCCUUUUCAUGAGGACAUUUAUUUUCUCCUUUCCUUGGGAAGGCACUUCUUCCGGCCUUCCUCAGUCCUGGCCCCUGCAGCUGUGCAAAGGAGGAUCAGGGCUUCUGUGAUGGAAGUGCAGACACCAGGACAGAAAAGUGGCUGGUUCAGGGAGGAGGGCCGGGCCAUGCUCCCUGCUGGGAGCAGAUGGGGCCAAGAGGGAGGCUGGUGGGAGGAUCUGGGUAGCUCUGAAGGAUGCUCCGUGUUAUCCUGAAGGGGCGCAUCCUCAUCGGGUUUGAAACAAUGGGACUUGGUUCAAUGGAGAAAUGAUCUCAUCAGCCUGUUUCUCCUCAUGGCCUUCCCCAG